UGAAUUCCAGAACACAGGGACCACUGAAGGCCUCCUCUUUGUCUACCUGUUCCAGUACAUUUAUGACCACCUAAGCAAUACAUAGUCAGACAAGCCUUAUCACUUAUUCUGCCCUUAAGCACCCCCGUGUCUUUCAUCUAUUUUUGUUCCUCCCGGCAGAAUAUCUAAUUUUACUUCUCUAAAGAGGAAGUGCAUUCAGACUAAUCUGCUGAAGAGGAAACAAUUACAAACAGAAGUAAAAUGAACUGCCAAAUCCACUGAACUGCAACAGAAGAAAGAAUGUCAACACUGGAACAAUGGAGAGGAGGAGAAGAGGGAGUAAUGGGUGGGUGAGUGGGGACAGUGAGUCUGCUAGUUUGCAUUUAUUUCAAGUCACACACUCUUGGAAGUUGACCAAAUUGCUAAAGAAAAAUUAGGUCAUUUUGUUCAGUUGCUUCUCUGUCAGAUUUUUAAUUCAAUAAAAUGUAAUCAUGUUCAUGAUUAAAAAUAUGGCAAAUGCAA
This is a non-coding RNA of Ictidomys tridecemlineatus (thirteen-lined ground squirrel), 501 nucleotides long. Lineage: Eukaryota; Metazoa; Chordata; Mammalia; Rodentia; Sciuridae. The record is from RefSeq and is a predicted model, not a curated record.